This 84-nucleotide transfer RNA is filed under the name Camelus bactrianus (Bactrian camel). It matches the Rfam family "tRNA". Rfam says of the family: Transfer RNA (tRNA) molecules are approximately 80 nucleotides in length. Their secondary structure includes four short double-helical elements and three loops (D, anti-codon, and T loops). Further hydrogen bonds mediate the characteristic L-shaped molecular structure. tRNAs have two regions of fundamental functional importance: the anti-codon, which is responsible for specific mRNA codon recognition, and the 3' end, to which the tRNAs corresponding amino acid is attached (by aminoacyl-tRNA synthetases). tRNAs cope with the degeneracy of the genetic code in two manners: having more than one tRNA (with a specific anti-codon) for a particular amino acid; and 'wobble' base-pairing, i.e. permitting non-standard base-pairing at the 3rd anti-codon position. The record is from Rfam by way of RNAcentral. Lineage: Eukaryota; Metazoa; Chordata; Mammalia; Artiodactyla; Camelidae. RNAcentral also lists the same sequence under 1 other name.
GGGGGUAUAGCUCAGUGGUAGAGCGCAUGCUUGGCGUGCGUGCGUGUGCGCGCGAGGUCCUGGGUUUGAUCCUCAGUGCCUCCG